UCAAGUAACACCUUGUUUCAAAAAAAAAGAAAAGAAAAAAACUAAUUGGAAAUUUCUGUCUAUUCCGAGCUCAACAAGAUUGAAGUAAGUUUUCGGGAGCUACAGAAAUUGAAUCAGGACAAGAGCGGUAGAGGACUGUACUCCAUUGAAGUGCUGGAACUCUUCUGAAAACAGGAGUUUUCCUUCGUGGACAUUUUAUGGAAUUCUCUCUUUUUUUUUUUUUUUUUU
This is a non-coding RNA of Cricetulus griseus (Chinese hamster), 228 nucleotides long. The record is from RefSeq and is a predicted model, not a curated record. Lineage: Eukaryota; Metazoa; Chordata; Mammalia; Rodentia; Cricetidae.